Long non-coding RNA from Rhododendron vialii, 691 nucleotides. RefSeq lists it as uncharacterized. Lineage: Eukaryota; Viridiplantae; Streptophyta; Magnoliopsida; Ericales; Ericaceae. The record is from RefSeq and is a predicted model, not a curated record. The transcript is spliced from 2 exons.
CUGUUUACUAAUGAUCUUGAUAAAGGAGAAGUUAAAUAGUUCAUAACACGUUAUUCAUUCUUGUUGGCUUGUUGGUGGUGCUACUCAGAGUACUAACAUCACUGACAUGCAAAAAAAUUGAGGAAGCCGGAAAAAUGAACAUGAACAUGAACCAAUGCUGUGAGAAAAUGUGUCACGAGCAGCAGAGAUUGGGGAUGCUUUUAGAAACGACAAGUAAUAGAAUACUUGUUUCCAAUCCUAGGAAGUAACUUUAUGAGGCAUUGUUGAGCAGUUCAGUUGAAUCUAUUUAGCAUCUAUACAGAGGAAAAUAUAUCAGUGUUUGAAUGGUGAUUGUUGUUUUUUACUCCACUCAUUUUGAAGGCAUGAAGUGUUAGUUUAGUGCCUUCCUUGGCCUUAACCGCCCCUGCUCCUCAAAUGGUUCAUGAUUCGUCGAAGGGUAUUUUUUUCGCCUCUCAUCGCAUCAUUUUUGGUGAGGAAUAUUGCAAUGUUUAUGUAGUGAGCCUGGGCCACAUCCGUCAGCUGUAUAGUAUGGUCAUACAUCAGGUAAGACGAUAUACAGCACUUAUGGAAGAGGACACUUGUGCUGUAGUGGUAGCUGGUGUAAGUUCCUGUGGAGGCAUUUCGCCAACAAUUGGAAAUUUAGUAGUUUGUAUAUGGAAAAGUGCAACGUAAAUGAUGUAAGAGAUGAACU